CACUGGACGCCGCGGACCGCGCUAAGCAAAGCGGGGCUGCAGGGAGGGCAGGUUAGGGCAGCUGACCUUCGGCACGAGGGCGUUGCAACAAUCCCCGCGCGCGCACGAGCUUCCAGCUCCAGACGGCCCGGUGGACAGCGCGCACCGCAGGGCUCCCCCGCCGCCCCCCUAGGCCGCGCCGUCCUCGCCCCUGUCUGGCUUCUCCUCCGGCAGGUGCAGCACGAAGGGGACGAGCGCGCCCCGGGCGUCCAGCGGGGCGCGGAGCGGCGCGGGCUCGAAGGUGGCGCCCCGGCCCGCGCCCCGGCCCUCGCCCGCGCCCUCGCCCGCGCCCUCGCCCGCGCCCUCGCCGUCCUGCGGGGGCACGAAGCGCCAGGUGCCCCCGCGGCCCACGCAGUAGAUGGCGCGGCCGAGCGCGGCGCAGCGGAAGGGCGGCAGGCCCGGCGGGUGCGCGGCGCAGCGGCUCCAGCGCUUGGCCAGGCAGUGGUAGCGCAGCACGGUCACUGCCCCGGCCGCCUGCGGGUCUCCGCGCGCCGCGCCCUGGUCGAAGCGGUAGACGGAGCCGCCCAGGGCCACCAUGCCCAGCGCGCGCUCGCGGCUGCUGCUGCUCGGGCACUCCUGCCACUCGUCGCGCCGCGGGUCGUACUUGAGCAGGCGGCCGGACAGCGAGCCCCCGGACACGUAGAUGUCGCCGUUGCACGCGGCCGCCUCGUGCGCCACGGCGAAGGCUCCGCGCGGCAGCGGGGCCACGGCGGCCCAGCGGUCGGCGCGCGGGUCGUAGCGCUCCACGCUGCGCAGGCACUCGCCGCCCACGGCGUACAGGUGUCCGUCCAGGGCCAGCAGCUGCAGCUGCGAGCGCGCCUGGCGCAGCGGGCGCACGGCGCUCCAGAGCCCCGUGGCCGGGUUGUAGCAGAAGACGCGGUCCGAGGCCCGCGCGCGCCCGUCCGGCCCCGCCGCGCCCACGCCGCCCGCCACGAAGAGGUAGUUGUGCAGCACGCACAGCCCGCAGCCCCGCGCCGCCGCGCCCUCGGGCAGCCGCGUCAGCUCGCGCCACUCGCCCGCCGCCUCGUGCAGCCAGAACACGGCGCGCGCGCCCCCGGCCCCCGCGCCCCCCGCGGCCCCCGCGGCCCCCGCCGGCCCGAGCUCCAGCGCCGCGGCCAGCAGGUGGGCCCGGCCCGCGCGCAGGCGGCGGCGCAGCAGCAGGUCGCGCUCGGCCCCCGACAGGCGCCCGAACACGCCGGGCUCGCGCAGCACGUCCAGGUAGUGGUCGCUCAUGAAGCGGUAGGCGGCGUCGCGCAGCUCGGUCAGCCGCUGCCGCUUGGCCGCGCUCAGCACCUCGUAGCAGUUGGCCAGGCUCAGCUGCGGCGCCACGGCCUCGGCGGCGCGCUGCGCGGCGCACGGCAGCUGCAGGCGCCGCGCGCCCGCCGCCACCUCGGCCACGUUGUCGGGCCGCACCCCCGCCAGGCGCCCGCUGUACGCGUAGGCCAGCAGCAGCCGCAGCGCCGCCCAGCCCACGCCCUGCACCCGCAGCACGUCCCGCGACGCCCGCGCGCGGAAGUAGUCGCUGCGCGCCGCCAGCACCGCCUUGUGCGCCCGCAGCCGGCGGCCCGACACCUCGAUGACCAGGUCGGGCUCCCCGUGCACGGGCUCGACGCCGGGGGCCACGGGCGCCAGGUCCCCGGGCUCCUCCGCCUCCUCCGGGGACGCGGGCUCCUCCAGGGACGCGGGCUCCGCGGGCGACAGCAGCUCCUCGGUGCACGCGGGCGACAGGAGCUCCUCCGGGGAUGCGCGCUCCUCGGUGGACGCGCGCUCCUCUGGGGUCACGGGCUCCCCGGGCGACAGGAGCUCCUCCGGGGUCCCGGGCUCCGCCGGGGAUGCGCGCACCUCCGGGGUCCCGGGCUCCUCCGGGGUCGCGCGCUCCGCCGGGGACGCGCGCUCCUCCAGGGUCCCGGGCUCCGCCGGGGAUGCGCGCUCCUCCGGGGUCAUGGGCUCCUCCGGGGACGCGCGCUCCGCCGGGGACACGCACUCCUCGGGGUCCCCGGGCUCCCCGGGAGCCGCGGCGCCCGCGCUGCCGACCUCCCCCUGCCGCUCCACCACCCGCGGGCCGCUACGACGCGAGGGCGGGGAGGACGCUGCGCCCUCCGCGGCGGAGGCGCGACCCUGCGGCGGGGAGCCGUCCCCGGAGCUGAAGCACAGCGACGCGCCGAGGCUGCAGGGUGUCUGCGCGGCCGGCGGCGGCGGGACCCCGGGCUGGCCGCGCGCCCCCUGCGCCCCCGCGCCCCCGGCCUCGGGCCCGCGCUCCGGGAGGGGGGGCUCCAUGGGCGCCGCGCUCUGGCCGCCGCCGCCCCGCCCGCUCAGCAGCCCGGCAUCACCGGCCCUGCCCCGCGCGCCUCAAGGCCCCGCGGCCCCUGGGCCCGGCUCCCGGGCUCCGCUUCUGGGUGCACAGUCCCGAGGCUCCCGCGAGGUGGGGCCUGUGCGCCCGGCGCGCAGCCCCGCCAGCCUCGGACGCGGGGUCCGUGGGCUUCGCCUCCAGGCCGCACCCCAGGGCUCCCCGAUGCUCCCCCGAUGCUCCCUCCAGGCCGCGAUGCUCCCCCGAUGCUCCCUCCAGGCCGCGAUGCUCCCCCGAUGCUCCCUCCAGGCCGCGAUGCUCCCCGAUGCUCCCUCCAGGCCGCGAUGCUCCCCCGAUGCUCCCUCCAGGCCGCGAUGCUCCCCCGAUGCUCCCUCCAGGCCGCGAUGCUCCCCGAUGCUCCCUCCAGGCCGCGAUGCUCCCCGAUGCUCCCCCGAUGCUCCCUCCGGCCGAGCCUUGGCCUCUGGGGGGGCCCCCCGCAGGUCGGUCUCCGGUGCUGA
RNAcentral lists this long non-coding RNA (2844 nucleotides) under Canis lupus familiaris (dog). Its description in RNAcentral is "lncRNA (ENSCAFG00040006892.1)". The record is from RNAcentral. Lineage: Eukaryota; Metazoa; Chordata; Mammalia; Carnivora; Canidae.